Molecule: ribosomal RNA, 465 nt
Filed under: uncultured bacterium
Lineage: Bacteria
Description: partial 16S ribosomal RNA
Rfam family: Bacterial small subunit ribosomal RNA
Source: RNAcentral
CCUACGGGAGGCAGCAGUAGGGAAUCUUCCACAAUGGGCGAAAGCCUGAUGGAGCAACGCCGCGUGGGUGAAGAAGGUCUUCGGAUCGUAAAACCCUGUUGUUAGAGAAGAAAGUGCGUGAGAGUAACUGUUCACGUUUCGACGGUAUCUAACCAGAAAGCCACGGCUAACUACGUGCCAGCAGCCGCGGUAAGACGUAGGUGGCAAGCGUUAUCCGGGUUUAUUGGGCGUAAAGGGAACGCAGGCGGUCUUUUAAGUCUGAUGUGAAAGCCUUCGGCUUAACCGGCGUAGUGCAUUGGAAACUGGGGGACUUGAGUGCAGAAGAGGAGAGUGGAAGUCCAUGUGUAGCGGUGAAAUGCGUAGAUAUAAGGAAGAACACCAGUGGCGAAAGCGGCUCACUGGUCUGUAACUGACGCUGAGGUUCGAAAGCGUGGGGAGCAAACAGGAUUAGAUACCCCAGUAGUC